UGGGGAAUUUUGGACAAUGGGCGCAAGCCUGAUCCAGCCAUACCGCGUGAGUGAAGAAGGCCUUCGGGUUGUAAAGCUCUUUCAGACGGAAAGAAACGGUUACGGCUAAUACCCGUGACUAAUGACGGUACCGUAAGAAGAAGCACCGGCUAACUACGUGCCAGCAGCCGCGGUAAUACGUAGGGUGCGAGCGUUAAUCGGAAUUACUGGGCGUAAAGCGUGCGCAGGCGGUUUGGUAAGACAGAUGUGAAAUCCCCGGGCUUAACCUGGGAACUGCAUUUGUGACUGCCAGACUAGAGUGUAGCAGAGGGGGGUAGAAUUCCACGUGUAGCAGUGAAAUGCGUAGAUAUGUGGAGGAAUACCGAUGGCGAAGGCAGCCCCCUGGGCUAACACUGACGCUCAUGCACGAAAGCCCAGGGGAGCAAACGGGAUUAGAUACCCUUGUAGUCCCUGAGCGGGCUGGCAAGGCGCAU
Molecule: ribosomal RNA, 473 nt
Filed under: uncultured bacterium
Lineage: Bacteria
Description: bacterial SSU rRNA
Rfam family: Bacterial small subunit ribosomal RNA
Source: RNAcentral